Molecule: ribosomal RNA, 402 nt
Filed under: uncultured bacterium
Lineage: Bacteria
Description: bacterial SSU rRNA
Rfam family: Bacterial small subunit ribosomal RNA
Source: RNAcentral
UAGGGAAUAUUGGUAAUGUGCGAAAGCGCGAACCAGCAACGCCGCGUGCACGAUGAAGGCCUUCGGGUCGUAAAGUGCUUUUAGAGAGGAUGAGGAAGGACAGUACUUUCUGAAUAAGCCUCGGCUAACUACGUGCCAGCAGCCGCGGUAAAACGUAGGAGGCAAGCGUCAUCCGGAUUUACUGGGCGUAAAGCGCAUGCAGGUGGUUUUGUAAGUUGGAUGUGAAAGCUCCUGGCUUAACUGGGAGAGGUCGUUCAAAACUACAAGACUUGAGAUUGGUAGAGGAAAAUGGAAUUCCGGGUGUAGUGGUGAAAUGCGUAGAUAUCCGGAGGAACACCAGUGGCGAAAGCGGUUUUCUGGACCAAUUCUGACACUCAGAUGCGAAAGCUAAGGUAGCAAACG